UCAAAAUCCUCUAAAUGUGGCAACCAUUUCAAAUGCACCCUGUUGCCGCUUGGAUUUGGAAACAAACUACAUCCUAUCUGAAAUAGUAUAUAUGCUCUCGCCGUAGCUCUAACAAUAGCGGGAGGUGCGUCUAAGGGGAUAUCAUGGAACUGCUGAUAUAACCAAUCUAUCUUGAUCUCACCACCCCUAAUAUCCUCCGGAACCACCCCGAGAAGUAACCCGCAGAGCUCUGCCCACUGAUAGGAUCCCCCUCCAGUCNCUAUAUAUAGUAUAGAGAGCAUAGUAGCCUAGCUCUCUCUCUCUAUAUAUAUAUAUAGUAUAUUGGCCUAGUUCGAUAAUGCAUUUUUGCAGGAUUGAGACUCUAACUUGAAAUUGAUCGCCUACAAACCUAAUUGAGGGUAAAGCGAACACGUUGGCGAAGUCGGUUCGGCAAUCCGUCGAGCCUACGUUAAGAUAUCGCCAAAAGGACGUUUUCAGCUUCAAAAUGGAAUGAUAAUCGAAAUCCGUCGAGCCUAACUCUAUAUAUAGGACUUUUAAAUUCAAGAUCAAGAAUGUUAAUCUUAAUCUAUAUAGUUUAAAGUAUUUUCUAUCAAAAUUUGAAGAAAUUUAGAUUCUUCUAUAUAGUAGCCCAGCUCUAUAUAUAGUAUAGAUAAUAUAGUAGCCUAGCUUCUAUACACGCGUUAUUCAUUCAUCCUUACAUUACACCAUUUAUAUCUUCAUGUUGCAAAGGAGAUGUUUUUUAUUGGGUUUUAGUAUGUUCUAUACAUUGGCCUGAGGCAUGCAGCUAGAGUAAAACUUGACAUGCAACUAAGUGUUCCUAAUGGGAAGAUACUGAUAAAUCACAUUAUUGAAUACAAAAUUCGACAGAUUGAGUAACUUGUAUAAAUCUGAGACUCUAACUGCUGAUCCGGCUGAUCACGAUAAAACUCAAUAUCAGUAGUCCUGACAUUGUCCAGAAAUGCUAAUCUAGUAUUCCACAUGUUUCAUUUAUAUCAUAUUAGUGAUGAAAAAUUAGUAUAUAGAAAACUUAAAAUGAAAAAAUACUUACCGACACCCUAAUGGCAUGUCGACAAGCUCAGGCUGCGGGCCUACUACCUCAGGGCGGCCAAUAUGCAGGUGGUCCCAUGCCCAUAUCUAUACAAAAAAAAACAUUCUUGUUAGAAAUGAAAACAAAAACCAUGACUUAACUAGAAGUAUUAUAAGGGUCUUCUUGUUAGAAGUAUUGUACCUGAAUUAAUGUCCCAAAACAACAACACUCGACCUUUCCCCUGAUGCAAGUAUUUCCUAGGGCACGAUAAAGAUGUGCUAGCGCGACUGCACCCACGACAAAGGUCAAAAUCCUCUAAAUGUGGCAACCAUUUCAAAUGCACCAUGUUCCCGCUUGGAUUUGGAAACAAACUACAUUCUAUCCGAAAUAGUAUAUAUGCUCUCGCCGUAGCUCUAACAAUAGCAGGAGGUGCGUCUAAGGGGAUAUCAUGGAACUGCUGAUAUAACCAAUCUAUCUUGAUCUCACCACCCCUAAUAUCCUCCGGAACCACCCCGAGAAGUAACCCGCAGAGCUCUGCCCACUGAUAGGAUCCC
RNAcentral lists this long non-coding RNA (1581 nucleotides) under Ananas comosus (pineapple). RNAcentral's name for it is "long non-coding RNA (ACOM_LNC017619)". The record is from RNAcentral. Lineage: Eukaryota; Viridiplantae; Streptophyta; Magnoliopsida; Poales; Bromeliaceae.